Molecule: ribosomal RNA, 442 nt
Filed under: uncultured bacterium
Lineage: Bacteria
Description: partial 16S ribosomal RNA
Rfam family: Bacterial small subunit ribosomal RNA
Source: RNAcentral
CCUACGGGGGGCAGCAGUGGGGAAUAUUGGGCAAUGGGCGCAAGCCUGACCCAGCAACGCCGCGUGAAGGAAGAAGGCUUUCGGGUUGUAAACUUCUUUUAAGCGGGAAGAGCAGAAGACGGUACAUCUUGAAUAAGCCACGGCUAACUACGUGCCAGCAGCCGCGGUAAUACGGAGGUGGCAAGCGUUGUCCGGAUUUACUGGGUGUACAGGGCGUGUAGCCGGGCAGACAAGGCAGAUGUGAAAUUCCGGGGCUCAACCCCGGACCUGCCUUUGAAACUGUUGGUCUUGAGUAUCGGAGAGGCAGGCGGAAUUCCUAGUGUAGCGGUGAAAUGCGUAGAUAUUAGGAGGAACACCAGUGGCGAAGGCGGCCUGCUGGACGACAACUGACGGUGAGGCGCGAAAGCGUGGGGAGCGAACAGGAUUAGAUACCCGAGUAGCC